ACUUCACUCGUUGGCACAAAAUAGAGAACUCUGAAGAGGUGCCGCUAAAUAACGAAGUCGCUAUGGAGUUUGCCAUUAUCCAACCUUCCUGUGCUCUGCUCUUCUCUUCGACGUGCUCUGGCUCUCCUCUUCCACGUUACUUUGUUUUCAUCUUUUGUUCUGCUCUACUCUCACUCACUCAAGAAAAGUCUUGGAUCAGAUGAAAGAAACACAGCUGAUAUAUUGGAAACACCACAAGUGCAUCUCCAACCUUAGAAACACCACAAGUAGCUGCUAUAGCGUUUGUUUUUGCUGCUUUAUUAGUCUCAGUUUGGAAUUGUGGAUAUUUAUUUAUAUAUGUUAUUUAGUGGGUUUUUGGUUGAUUAUUAUUAUUGUUAGUCUGUGCGCUUGUGGAAAGUAAUAUGUGAACGUGAAUUUGUAAUU
This is a non-coding RNA of Prunus avium (sweet cherry), 423 nucleotides long. The record is from RefSeq and is a predicted model, not a curated record. NCBI's taxonomy places the organism in Eukaryota, Viridiplantae, Streptophyta, Magnoliopsida, Rosales, Rosaceae.